This 74-nucleotide transfer RNA is filed under the name Trichonephila inaurata madagascariensis. It matches the Rfam family "tRNA". Rfam says of the family: Transfer RNA (tRNA) molecules are approximately 80 nucleotides in length. The record is from Rfam by way of RNAcentral. Lineage: Eukaryota; Metazoa; Arthropoda; Arachnida; Araneae; Nephilidae.
GUCCCUGUAACGCAAUGGAUAGCGCGAGUUGGACUUCUAAUCCAAGGUCGUGGGUUCGAAUCCCACCUGAGAUG